CGUAGGUGGCGAGCGUUGUCCGGAAUUACUGGGUGUAAAGGGCGUGUAGGCGGGAAUGUAAGUCAGAUGUGAAAUGCCGAGGCUUAACCUCGGAGCUGCAUCUGAAACUGCGUUUCUUGAGUGUCGGAGAGGAAAGUGGAAUUCCCAGUGUAGCGGUGAAAUGCGUAGAUAUUGGGAGGAACACCAGUGGCGAAGGCGACUUUCUGGACGAUAACUGACGCUGAGGCGCGAAAGCGUGGGGAGCAAACAGGAUUAGAUACCCUGGUAGUCCACGCCGUAAACGAUGGAUACUAGGUGUAGGAGGUAUCGACCCCUUCUGUGCCGGAGUUAACACAAUAAGUAUCCCACCUGGGGAGUACGGCCGCAAGGUUG
RNAcentral lists this ribosomal RNA (372 nucleotides) under uncultured organism. Its description in RNAcentral is "bacterial SSU rRNA". It matches the Rfam family "Bacterial small subunit ribosomal RNA", at positions 526 to 896 of the family's 1533-position model. The record is from RNAcentral.